UACGUAGGUGGCAAGCGUUGUCCGGAUUUACUGGGCGUAAAGGGCGUGCAGGCGGCCCGUUAAGUGCAUGGUGAAAGCUCCCGGCUCAACUGGGAGAGGUCUGUGUAUACUGGCGGGCUUGAGGGGGGUAGAGGAAAGUGGAAUUCCCGGUGUAGUGGUGAUAUGCGUAGAUAUCGGGAGGAACACCUGUGGCGAAGGCGGCUUUCUGGGCCUACCUGACGCUGAGACGCGAAAGCGUGGGGAGCGAACAGGAUUAGAU
RNAcentral lists this ribosomal RNA (259 nucleotides) under uncultured bacterium. Its description in RNAcentral is "partial 16S ribosomal RNA". It matches the Rfam family "Bacterial small subunit ribosomal RNA", at positions 524 to 783 of the family's 1533-position model. The record is from RNAcentral.